Suncus etruscus (white-toothed pygmy shrew) is the source of this 11120-nucleotide RNA transcript. It is a transcript of the gene named retinoic acid induced 1, with no coding region annotated. The transcript is spliced from 5 exons. The record is from RefSeq and is a predicted model, not a curated record. Lineage: Eukaryota; Metazoa; Chordata; Mammalia; Eulipotyphla; Soricidae.
GUUUUUCAGUCUGUAGUAAAUUUCUCAUGUUCCUGGAAAAUAAAUGGAUUCCUUUCUGUGCUGUGCUUUUCUCUCUCCCAGUUUGAAGAUGCUCUUCUAUGCAUGAAAACCUUCCUUACUCUCUCCAGUGCUCUGCAUGUGGAAUUCCCCAAAGCCCAUUCUGAAGAGUCCAUGGCUGUGUGAAGUGGUUCUUUGGACAAAGGUGGAUAAACGAGGCCCGUGUGCACUGGCGGUCUUGCUUGCUGUGCUGAUUCUGCAGCCCCAGGAGCAAUGCUCCGAGGAAGCCUGCAUGGGAACGUGGCACCUUAGAUAACCAGCCCGAGUCAUGCAGUCUUUUCGAGAAAGGUGUGGUUUCCAUGGCAAACAACAGAACUACCAGCAGACCUCACAGGAGACAUCUCGCCUGGAGAAUUACAGGCAGCCAAGCCAAGCCGGGCUGAGCUGUGACCGGCAGCGGCUGCUGGCCAAGGACUAUUAUAACCCGCAGGCGUACCCAGGCUACGAGGGCGGGGCUGGUGCGCCCACUGGCUCUGCUCGCAGCAAAGGCCUGGCCUCGCAGCAGGGCCUGCAGGGUAGGCCGGCCUUCCCCAGCUACAGCGUCCAGGACAGCAACCCCUACCCAGGCCGUUACUCGGGUGAGGAGAGCAUGCAGGCCUGGGGGGCCCCCCAGCCCCCACCUCCCCAGCCACAGCCCCUGCCAGGGGGGGUGGGCAAAUACGAUGAGAACUUGAUGAAGAAGACAGCAGUACCCCCUGGCAGGCAGUACCCAGAGCAGGGUGCCCAGCUGCCCUUCCGGAGUCACUCCCUGCACGUCCAGCCACAGCUGUCGCAGCCUCAGCAGUCCCUGCCCUACCCCAAGCUCCAAAGGCAGAAGCUACAGAAUGACAUGGCCUCGCCACUGCCCUUUCCCCCGGGCAGCCACUUUCCCCAGCACUCACAGUCCUUCCCUACCUCUUCCACCUACUCCUCCACUGGCCAGGGUGGUGGGCAGGGGACCCACUCCUAUAAGAGUUGCACAGCACCCUCUGCCCAGCCUCAUGACAGGCCGCUGACCGCCAAUGCUAGCCUGACACCAGGCCAGAGGGUCCAGAACCUUCACACCUAUCAGUCCAGCCGCCUCAGCUUUGACCAGCAGAAGCAGCAGCAGCAGCAACAACAACAGCAGCAACAACAGCAGCAGCAGCAGCAGCAACAGCAGCAGCAGCAACAACAAGCCCUUCAGAGCCGGCAUCAUGCCCAGGAAACCCUCCAUUACCAAAACCUUGCCAAGUACCAACAUUAUGGGCAACAAGGGCCAGGCUACUGCCAGCCAGAUGCGGCCGUCAGGACUCCGGACCAGUAUUACCAGACUUUCAGCCCCAGCUCCAGCCACUCUCCCGCGCGCUCUGUGGGCCGAUCACCCUCCUACAGCUCCACCCCAUCACCACUGAUGCCCAAUUUGGAGAACUUCCCCUACAACCAGCAGUCACUCAGCACGGGCACCUUCCCUGCCACCGGCCUCACCGACCACAGCCACUUUAUGCCCCUACUCAACCCCUCCCCGACAGAUGCCACCAGCUCCGUGGACACCCAGGCUGGCAACUGCAAGCCCCUCCAGAAAGACAAGCUCCCCGAGAACUUGCUGUCAGACCUCAGCCUGCAGAGCCUCACGGCCCUGACCUCACAGGUGGAGAACAUCUCCAACACGGUCCAGCAACUCCUGCUCUCUAAGGCUGCCGGACCGCAGAAGAAGGGCGUCAAGAACCUGGUGUCCAGGACCCCGGAGCAGCACAAGAGCCAGCAUUGCAGUCCUGAAGGAAGUGGCUACUCGGCCGAGCCGGCCGGCACGCCACUGUCAGAGCCGUUGAGCAGCACGCCCCAGUCCACGCACGCUGAGCCGCCGGAGGCUGACUACCUAAGCGGCUCCGAGGACCCUCUGGAGCGCAGCUUCCUCUACUGCAGUCAAGCCCGGGGGAGCCCCGCCAGGGUCAACAGCAACUCGAAGGCCAAGCCAGAGUCCGUGUCCACAUGCUCCGUGACCUCUCCCGACGACAUGUCCACCAAGUCUGACGACUCCUUCCAGAGCCUGCAUGGCAGCCUGCCUCUCGACAGCUUCUCCAAGUUUGUGGCCGGGGAGCGGGACUGCCCGCGGCUGCUGCUCAGUGCCCUGGCCCAGGAGGACCUGGCCUCAGAGAUCCUGGGGCUACAGGAGGCCAUAGGGGAGAAGGCUGACAAGGCCUGGGCCGAAGCGCCCAGCUUGGCCAAGGACACCAACAAGCCACCUUUCUCCCUGGAGAAUCACAGCACCUGCCUGGACCCCGUGGCCAAGACCGUGUGGUCGCGCCCAGGGGAGCCGGAGGCCUUGCCUGAGUCCCUACAGCUGGACAAAGGUGGCACUGCCAAGGACUUCAGCCCGGGACUCUUUGAAGACCCAUCAGUCAGCUUUGCCACCCCUGACCCCAAGAAAACGGGUCCCCUCGCCUUCGGCACUAAGCCUCCACUUGGGGCCGCUGCCCCAGACCCUGCCACAGCGGCUUUCGACUGCUUCCCAGACACAGCUGCCGCCGGAGCAGCAGACAGUGCCAACCCCUUUGCCUGGCCCGAGGAGAACCUGGGCGAUGCCUGUCCCCGCUGGGGGCUGCACCCUGGCGAGCUCGCCAAGGGCCUCGAGACAGGCAGGCAGACCACAGAUGUCGUGGUGGGCAAGGAGAGCGCCUGUGAGGCCUCGGCCUGCCUGGGCUUCCGGGAGGAGGAGCCCCCAGGAGAGAAGGCCCCAGGGUCCCGGGACUUCAAGCAGGAGGAGGUGGGUGGGGUGAAGGAGGAGGCAGGCGGGCUGCUGCAGUGCCCCGAGGUGGGCAAAGCGGACCGGUGGCUGGAGGACAGCCGCCACUGCUGCACCUCUGACUUCGGGGACCUGCCACUGCUGCCGCCCACGGGCCGCAAGGAGGACCUAGAGGCGGAGGAGGAGUACUCCUCCCUGUGCGAGCUUCUAGGCAGCCCCGAGCAGAGGCCCAACAUGCAGGACCCACUGUCGCCCAAGGCCCCCCUGAUGUGCACCAAGGAGGAGGUCGGGGAGGUGCUGGACUCCAAGACAGGCUGGGGGUCCCCAUGCCACCUCUCUGGGGAUUCUGUCAUCUUGCUGGGCCCCACUGUGGGCGCUGAGUCGAAGGUACAGAGCUGGUUCGAGGCGUCCCUGUCCCACAUGAAGCCCGGGGAAGAAGGGUCCGAGGGUGCAUUGGCUCCAGGGGAUCCUGUCGCCCUGACCCCUGACACCUCUCUAGCCCCAAAGGCCGCCGUGCCAGAGGCAUCCAUUGCGAAGAAGGAGCCUGUGCCUCGGGGCAAAAGCCUACGGAGCCGCCGGGUACAGCGGGGUCUACCUGAGGCUGAGGACUCCCCAUGCCGAGCCCCGGCAUUGCCCAAAGAUCUCCUGCUCCCCGAGUCCUGUACAGGCACCCCCCAGGGACAACUGGAGGGCACAGGGGCACUGAGCCGGGGCAUCUCCGAAGGGUUCCCCAGGAUGUGCACCCGCUCCUUCACCGCCCUGAGUGAGCCCCGCACACCUGGUCCCCCAGGCCUGAUUACCACUCCUGCCCCCCCAGACAAACUGGGAGGCAAGCAGAGAGCCGCCUUCAAGUCAGGCAAGCGGGUGGGGAAGCCCUCCCCAAAGGCAGCCUCCAGCCCCAGUAACCCAGCCGCCCUGCCUGUGGCCUCUGACAGCAGCCCCAUGGGCUCCAAGACCAAGGAGACUGACUCGCCCGGCACGCCUGGGCAAGACCAGCGCUCCAUGAUCCUCCGGUCCCGCACAAAGACCCAGGAAGUCUUCCACGCCAAGCGGCGGAGGCCCUCGGAGGGCCGCCUCCCUACCUGCCGCACGGCUAAGAAGCUCCUGGCCAACAGCCAUCUGCCCACCACCUUCAAAGUCUCUGGGAGCCCCCAGAAGGAGGGCAGGGUGGGACCCCGGGCACGGGUCCCUAAGCCGGGGGCCGCUGGCAAGCUCUCUGAUCGGCCCCUUCAUGCCCUCAAGCGCAAGUCUGCCUUCAUGGCGCCUGUCCCCACCAAGAAGAGGAACCUGGUCCUGCGGAGCAGCGGUGUGGGAGACGAGGAUGGGAAGGAGGGUGUGGCUGAGGGUGCCCCUCCCCUCUUCAAGAGGCUGUCGUCCCCCAAGAAGGCCAAGCCUGCAAAGGGCAGUGGGGAGCCCACAGCAAAGCCCCCACCGCCAGAGACCACCGACACCUGCCUCAAGCUGGUGUCUCGAGCCGCCUUCCCGGGAGCCAUGAAGACCAAGGUGCUGCCCCCCCGGAAAGGUCGGGGCCUGAAGCUGGAGGCCAUCGUGCAGAAGAUUACAUCCCCCAGCCUGAAGAAGUUCGCCUGUAAAGCCCCGGGAGCUCCUCCCGGGAACCCUCUGAGCCCGACCCUCCUGGAGAAGGAACGAGGGAUCAAGAGUGCUGGGGGAAGCCCGGUGGGGGCAGAAGAAGGUCUCUUAGGUGUGGGCACUAUGCAGAAGGUCCCAGCAGCCUCAGGAAUUGACCCGAUGUGCAGAAAUCCAGCCAACAGAUCCUUAAAAGGUAAACUCAUGAACAGUAAGAAACUGUCCUCCACUGACUGUUUCAAAACCGAGGCCUUCACAUCUGCAGAGACACUGGCGCCCGGAGCCAUGGCACUAGUGCCCAAGAAAAGAAGCCGGAAAGGCAGGGCUGGGGCCUUGGCACUCCCCAAAGGCCCCCUGGAGAAGCGGCCCCAUCUCGGCCCCCCUCUGCCUCUGACUUCCCGAGACCGGAUGGGAGUGGGCACACAUGGGGGCAGUGAGGAUGUCUCUGGUGGAGGUGGCAAGAAGCCAAAGACAGAGGAGCUGGGCCUGGCCUCCCAGGCCCCUGAAGGCCGGCCCUGCCAGCCCCAGACCAGGGCACAGAAACAGCCGGGUCAUGCCAACUAUAGCAGCUAUUCCAAGCGGAAGCGCCUCUCCCGGGGCAGGGCCAAAAAUGCUGCCUCUUCCCCCUGUAAAGGGCGGGCUAAGCGGCGGCGGCAGCAGCAGGUGCUGCCCCUGGAUCCUGCAGAGCCUGAAAUCCGCCUCAAGUACAUUUCCUCAUGCAAGCGGCUUCGGGCAGACAGCCGCACCCCCGCCUUUUCACCCUUCGUGAGGGUGGAGAAGCGUGACGCAUUCACCACUGUAUGCACUGUUGUCAACUCCCCUGGGGAUGAGCCCAAGCCUCAUAGGAAGCCUUCAUCUUCCACCUCCUCUUCCUCAUCCUCAUCCUCCUCUUUGGAUGCAGCCGGGGCCUCCCUGGCCACGCUCCCAGGAGGCUCUGUCCUGCAGCCACGGCCCUCCCUGCCCCUCUCCUCCACCAUGCACCUGGGGCCUGUUGUUUCCAAGACCCUGAGUACCUCUUGCCUUGUUUGCUGCCUCUGCCAAAACCCAGCCAACUUUAAGGACCUGGGGGACCUCUGUGGGCCCUACUACCCUGAACACUGCCUCCCCAAAAAGAAGCCAAAACUCAAGGAGAAGGUGCGGCCAGAGGGCACCUGUGAGGAGUCCUUGCCGCUCCUAGAACGAACACUCAAAGGCCUGGAGUGCCCAGCUGCCGUUGCCGGGAAGCCCCCUCGGCCAGAUGGCCCGGCCGACCCUGCCAAGCAGGGUGCUCUGCGCACCAGUGCCCGGGGCCUGUCGCGGCGGCUGCAGAGUUGCUACUGCUGUGAUGGUCAGGGGGAUGGUGGCGAGGAGGCAGCCGCAGCUGACAAGAGCCGCAAGCAUGAGUGCAGCAAGGAGGGAGCGGCGGCGGAGUCUGGUGGGGACACCCAGGAGCACUGGGUGCAUGAGGCCUGCGCCGUGUGGACGGGCGGGGUCUACCUGGUGGCCGGGAAGCUCUUUGGGCUGCAGGAGGCCAUGAAGGUGGCCGUGGACAUGACGUGUGCCAGCUGCCAGGAAGCUGGGGCCACCAUCGGGUGCUGCCACAAGGGAUGCAUCCAUACCUACCACUACCCGUGUGCCAACGAUGCGGGUAAGAGCCGGCCAGAGGGCACAGAAAGCCCUGAUGGACCGUGUUGCAGUGCAGGGGACCCUGCACAGCUCCUGGAAGCCUGCCUCAUGCCUCCCUCCCAGCACUGUCUUACCUCUUCCUCUCUCCUAGGACCUGGGCAAGGCUAGGGACAGCGACCUGAGUCAGUCCCCAGGCCUGUACUGAAGGGGUGUCCAGGAACAGAAGUCACAGUUUUGAGGAGCUGUCAUUGCCAAAGGGUUGGGAGAAUUCAGGCCUCAAAGAUGAAGGGGUACUUUGGCGGGAGAUGAAUUGUUCACUGGGAAGAGAAGUGGGAAAGGAGGUCUGCAACUUCAGAGCUGUUGGAUGGGAAUCUGUGAGGUUCCAACAGCCUGAGGACAAACUGGCUUCUGAGGAUUGCAGGGAACCACUGGGCAAGAUUUUGCAAAGGAACACAGGGUCUGGGCAGUCUCUCCACCCACACCCUCUUUCCCCCACUCUAUUCUCAUUCACUCAUUUGUUCCAUGAGCACUUAGAUACCAGGGCCUAGAUUUCCUCAGCCAGGCAGGCAAACAGACAGUCCAAAUCUCAGCCAAAGAAAGCUGCUAGUUUUGCAGCUUUAGGGGCACCACUGUUUUGGGGGGCUUAGAAGCACUUGGACUGGAGUGAAAACCCUGGUGACAUGGACGUGCCCUGACCCACGAUGUUUCUGCAUUUGGUGUCUCCAUCUGUAAAACAAAGAUGAUAAUCAUCUUUUCUUUCCAGAGCUGUUUGGAGCAGGAAGUACAGCCUCAGCCCUCUUUGGGGGCCUCAUGACCUCUGUCCACCUCCCUCGGCCCGCCCUCCCUCCUCUGACCCUGAAGAGGGGUGAAGUUAUCUUGAGCCUCCCUCAUGGACUGCAGAGCAGAGGCAUUUCCCGGCAGGAUCCUCUCCCUGCUGGGGACCAGCUGUUCCUCCUCUCCCUCCUCCUUAUGCCUGUUGGCUCUUCCCUAGGCACAGGGGACCAUGCCCUGUACCCCUCCUGCCUGCCUGCCUGGUCCCAGGCCAGCCUUAGUGCAUCCAAGCCCCUCCCUCCCCACUUCAGCACACGCAGGACUCUGGUGACAGCUCCUUGGCAAGGACUGAGGUGCUGGCACUCAGUAAGGAGGAGCUGCUGGGGUGAAAUGGGGGGGGGUGUUCACUGGCUCCCCCUCCCAUUUCACCAGAGCUGCAUGAACCAGAUUUUAAUGUGGACUCAGACACUUCAGCAGCCACAUGGCCUUGCUCCCAGUAAUAGCUACCACGAGUCUCAUCUUUUCUUCUGCAGGGACUAAUUUAGCCCCAGCUACAUGCACACCAGGUCCUGGCUCGUCCCUUGCUCUCUCUGUGGCCUCUUUAAAGAGAGGCAGGAGAUGGGCACACAGGGGCUCCCGCCCCAGUGCUGCCACCCCAGGCGUUUAAGUGGGACAGGAGAUCCUGAUCCUUGCCCAGAGUCUUAGCAAUUAGAGAGCAGUGUGUGACAUGGGAGUCAUUCUGCCUGAGCAGUAUGAGCAUCCAGGAGGACUUCCCCAGAGAAGGUGAUAUUUGAAUGAGUCUGCCAAAGGUUGGACAGUGUGUCAGCACUUGGUUUUUAUAUUGGGCAUGAAGAGUUGGGAUAGAACCCAGGCUUCACACAUGCAAGGCCCAUGAGCCCUGCCUCUAGCCCUGUGGGGAGUCUAGCAGGCUUGGAGCACAAGUUUUGGUGUCUGCUAAAGUCUGACAGGUUCUGAGGACAGUGGCUACUAAAGAGCUCCAGGGCAGUGGGAGGAAGCAAACUGCGAGGCUGAGUGCACAGUUAUCUGGGUUAUCUGGGUGUGCUGGACCCAUCUUGUAGUUUGCCCUGGAUGGAGGGUGUCAGCCAAGCCAGGGUCCCAAACAUUCCUCGUUCAGGCCUCAGCUGGGGGCUCUGAAGUAUCCAGGCACAACAGACCCUCAUCAAGUUCAGGCUACUGGGUGGUGAUUAAUUCUACAUCUACUCCAACUGUGAGGCACAUAUGCAGGAUAGGGGUGCAGGGAGGAUACAGGCUCUCUGCCACUGUACACCCUGAUUUGGAUAAAUGGAAUUUGAGGCACUUGGGCUCAGGACAGACUCUACAACCCUGUGAUCAGAGGGGCUUGAUGUCAGGCCUGUGGGCACCUGUAGAAUGGGUGGAGAAGGUGGGAGCAUGAGGAAACCCCACAUCCAGGAAACUACAUGGAUCUCAGCUGACCCAGGACAAGGGCUCCAGUCCUUGUCAGUGCCCUGAAGACCUACUGAACCCUCAGAGCUGCCAGGUGUGUCCCAGGGCCUCUCCAGCUCUUUGGGUCAGGCACUCAGCCCACCCUAUUUUCCUGUCCCCACUCAGCCCCUGUGAGGCUGACUAGGUCCAGCUGACCCAGGCUGGCAAUGUCCUUUCCAUUCAGACCCAAAACUACUUUGUCUACCUGGUCUUAGGUUCCCCAAGAAUUCCCCAUGUUCCCAAAGACCCAAAUGUUCCCCAAACAUUGGUGACCCUGCUCUUCCAUAUGCCUUUGGAACUGGUGUGUGUAUAUGUAUGUGUGUUGGGGAGCAUUUCAUUUAGGGCAAGAGUCGUCCAUGUUCAAGAGCUCAAAGACCUUGACUGGAGCUCUGUGGUGGACCCAGGACACAGGCUUGGACAUUUCUGGCUCUGGUUUCAUGAACAGAGGGCUGGGGAGUUUCCAGUAUGGGCCAAUGAGCCAGUGUUGUCUAAAGGUGUGAUUCAGUCCUGAAGCUGCCUGUGUCAGGAACGGAGAGGGAGGGAUGCCCCCUCCAGCUGCUUGGCCCUAAAGAGCAUGUUCAUCUUGGGGUGUUGGGCAGCUUGUUUAGGGUGUGGCAAAGGCAGCUUCAGAGAGGCCUGGAGCAUUCCCAGCUCUGCUGCCCCCCUGUUGUCCCCUCCACUUGCCCUGACAUGGGCCACCAUUAGUGCUGCCUGGUACCUGGGACCCACUAUGGCCACAGCCUGUGCAGAGGAUGGAGCCGGAGGAGAGGCUCCUGCAGCUCGGGCUUCCACAUUGGGUGGGUUUGUGGCCAUGAAGGUUGUGGGUGGGGGAGCCCAGAAGGGAGCAUGAGGCAAGGGAUUCCAGGAGGAAAAGCCAAGGAGACAGCAUUCUAUUGAGCCCUGAGCCAAGCAACCUUUUUUCUCUGCCAUGGCGGCUGUGCCUUCCAGCCUGGACCUUCAGAUACAGGCUGCGGUUCCACCUCUACAGGACUCUGCUUCCCUCUAGGUCCCCCUAGCAGCAAGCGCACAUCCUGAGGGCCUGGGAGAACCAGGCAGGCAGUUCAUAGGCCUCCCCAGCAAUCCUCUAGCAUCCUUUGCAGACCAAACUUGACCUUGAAUCCAGGCCCAUGCUGCACCACCCAGGUCUGCCCAUAGGAGCAGCACUGGGGCUCCAGGCCACCUUCCAGGCACUGCUGCACCUAUAGAGGAAGGCAGCACUGCUGUGAAGAGGGAGUGGCAGUGUGUGGGUGUGGGUGUGGGGCUUGUGGUUCUGCAACAAUAGGGAUCACUGGCCCCAGAGGAGGGGAGGAGUGAAGGGCCAGGUUGGUGGGGCUGGAGGGCAGAUAGAGGCUGAAUGGUGGAGGAUUUCCAACUGAGUCGGCUGACUCUCUCAAGGGCACCCCUGUGGCCAAGGGCUUUGUGGGAUGGCAGGGGGCCCCCUGGCCAAAUACCAGCAGUACCCUAACCACCCAAACUUCUCUGGCCACAGGUUGCAUAUUCAUCGAAGAGAACUUUUCUUUGAAGUGUCCCAAACAUAAGAGGCAGCCGCUGUAAUCCACUCCAACGGCCGGGGAGCUGCCGGCAUCCUCCUGUCCACCUGCCGGCCACGAGGGAAAGGAAAGGAGCCGUCCACGCGGCCCCCGGGCCUUUGAGCUGCUCCCAGUGCGGAUCCAGCGCCGAUCCUUGAUCUGGACCCCGGAUCUCGGAUCUGGCCACCGAGGGCUAGAAACUUGCGGCCCGGGGCUGGGAAGAAAUCACGUUCCAGAGGAGAUUGGGCCCCCAGGCCCGACCCCUGGAGCCCAGUUUAGAGAGGGGGAGCCCAGGGAGCGGCCAGACUCCUUGGUACUUCCAGGCUCUGGCAGGGUGGGGUGCCUUUCUCCUGGGGCGUCCUUCUCCCCCGAGAGUUCGAGAGUUCUAAAAUGUGGGCGGGUGCUGCACGCCUUCCCCGGCCAGUCGUGGCUUGCACUGGGUGUCCUGGGGGUGGGGGCUCGAGGGCCUAGAAGAGGCUGAGGGCGACCCCGGAGUCUUAAGGAGGCGAGAGGGUGGGAGCCGAGGCCUUGCUGGAGAGGUUCAGGCUCAGGAGCACGACGCGACUGAGCGUCCCUCCUAACCAGCCUGGGACAAAUGUCCUACAGACCCGAGCAUAGCAGAGCAGGGGGUGGGCGGGGCGGGCUUCCCGUGUGGGCAGGACUGGGGCGCCCCUUGGCUUCUGUUUGUCCCCUUUCCAGUCCUCCACCCCACCCCUGGAGCCCUGCCUUGGACCCAGCGCGAACGGAAAGGAGUCGCGACCGCCGCACAGGGCCCGGCCCGCCGAGCGUCAUCGCCUGUGUCUCCAGGGACCUCAGCGCCCACUCGGCCCGGGGAGCGACAGCGCUAGAUUCGUGUACAAACCUGUGUCCCCCUCUAUAUAUAUGUUACAUAGAAUGUAUAUAUGUUGGGAACUUGCUCGCUUCUCCUGUGUGUCGCCGCUGUGCGUCGUGCUCCCCUCAGCACAGGGCCCUGGUUGGGGAAGGGGCGACAGCGAUGCCCCCGGCCCAACGCAGCCACCACCGGCCCAAGCCAGUCCCUGCCGUUCAGUCCGCCUGUCAGUCUGUGUCCUCAGCUCUGUCCACGCUUCGAUAGGCCUGAUGCAGCCCCCCGCCUGGGGCCGCCCUAGCAACUCCCUGUACAUAUGACUGUAAAAUGAUAAACGUGUGUAUUAUAUCUGGCCUCGUUAUAUAGUGUAUAUAUAUGUAUACAUAUACAUAUAUAUAAUAUAUAUGAAGACUGUAAAUGUUAAGACGACUAGUGUUCUUAUUAGUAUAUUGCUUCACACUGAAGAUUGUGUGUAUCGAGCUGUUUCUAAAAGAUGUUUAUUUUCCUUAAGAGUAAAAAACAGUCAUUGCAUUCAGAAAAAAAAAAAGUCAAUAAAGAUACAACAAUUGUUUUGGAA